GACGAACGCUGGCGGCGUGCCUAAUACAUGCAAGUAGAACGCUGAAGGAGGAGCUUGCUUCUCUGGAUGAGUUGCGAACGGGUGAGUAACGCGUAGGUAACCUGCCUGGUAGCGGGGGAUAACUAUUGGAAACGAUAGCUAAUACCGCAUAAGAGUAGAUGUUGCAUGACAUUUGCUUAAAAGGUGCAAUUGCAUCACUACCAGAUGGACCUGCGUUGUAUUAGCUAGUUGGUGAGGUAACGGCUCGCCAAGGCAACGAUACAUAGCCGACCUGAGAGGGUGAUCGGCCACACUGGGACUGAGACACGGCCCAGACUCCUACGGGAGGCAGCAGUAGGGAAUCUUCGGCAAUGGACGGAAGUCUGACCGAGCAACGCCGCGUGAGUGAAGAAGGUUUUCGGAUCGUAAAGCUCUGUUGUAAGAGAAGAACGAGUGUGAGAGUGGAAAGUUCACACUGUGACGGUAUCUUACCAGAAAGGGACGGCUAACUACGU
This 494-nucleotide ribosomal RNA is filed under the name uncultured bacterium. Its description in RNAcentral is "partial 16S ribosomal RNA". It matches the Rfam family "Bacterial small subunit ribosomal RNA", at positions 28 to 506 of the family's 1533-position model. The record is from RNAcentral.